AGAUUGAACGCUGGCGGAAUGCUUUACACAUGCAAGUCGAGCGGCAGCGCGGGGGCAACCCUGGCGGCGAGCGGCGAACGGGUGAGUAAUACAUCGGAACAUGUCCAGUUGUGGGGGAUAGGCCCGGCGAAAGCCGGAUUAAUACCGCAUGAGCUCGAGAGAGGAAAGCGGGGGACCGUAAGGCCUCGCGCGACUGGGUUGGCCGAUGUCCGAUUAGCUAGUUGGUGGGGUAAAGCCUACCAAGGCGAUGAUCGGUAGCUGGUCUGAGAGGAUGAUCAGCCACACUGGGACUGAGACACGGCCCAGACUCCUACGGGAGGCAGCAGGUGGGGAAUUUUGGACAAGUGGGGCAACCCGUGAUCCGAGCCAUUCCGCGUGAGUGAAGAAGGCUUGGGUGUAAGUCUACUUU
This 409-nucleotide ribosomal RNA is filed under the name uncultured soil bacterium. RNAcentral's name for it is "bacterial SSU rRNA". It matches the Rfam family "Bacterial small subunit ribosomal RNA", at positions 26 to 437 of the family's 1533-position model. The record is from RNAcentral.